AGCCGUGCACCCGGCCCGCGCGCACACGUGCACGCCAGGCUGGUGCUGGCCAUCUCCACCUGUUCACACCUCUGCUGUCAGACUGCAGCUGGCGGAGCGGCUCGGUGUCGGUUGGGCUCCUCAGACGCCGCUGAAUGGAUCACCUCCAGCAAACGGCUUCAGCGCAGAACCUCCUCCGAACCCCGCUCCGUGCUUCUCCCGGUACAGCGCAGUCUGACGACCCAGUCUGCGGACGCGGAUUGCCGGUUCGGUCUCGUGCUCGGCCGUGAGGACGGCGGAUCAAUCGGUCUCCGUCCGCGAGCAGCGAGUCGUCUGCACGGCUUUAUUCUUCAGUACCAGAUUGGAUCAAACGCUGUGGGGUCGGACUAUGGUGCCGGUACCGCUUCGACCCACGGCGCCGUGAGAACCCCAUCCCGUUUUCUGCUGUUUUCGUUGGUCAGCGGGAUCGUGCUUCUGGGCAGGUCCGCCGCUCCCCGCUCCAUGAUGUUCACCUUCGCUGCCUUCUGCUACAUGCUGUCUCUGGUCCUCUGCGUCUCCCUCAUCUUCUUCGCCAUCUGGCACAUAACAGCUUUUGAGGAACUCCAGGCUGACUUCAAGGUGCCGAUUGAUCAGGGAAAUCCACUCCAUGCGAGGGAGAGACUCAGAAACAUUGAGAGAAUCUGCAACCUGCUGAGGAAGUUGGUGCUACCUGAGUACUCCAUCCAUGGCCUGUUCUGCAUUAUGUUCCUGUGUGCCCAGGAGUGGCUUACUGUAGGCCUUAACGUCCCUCUGCUCUUCUACAACACUUGGAGAAUGGGUGAACUACCCAGGUUUUGGUCUUUGCCCUCUGUGGUAGGUACUUUCAUUCCCCAACGGAUACCAAGGAGAUCCUGUAUGACCCAGCGUCUGUGAUGAACGGAGACACGCUGAAGUUCUGCCAGAAGGAAGCCUGGUGCAAGCUGUCAUUCUUCGUUUUGUCCUUUUUCUAUUAUCUUUAUUGUGUGUGGAACCUGGAUAUAUCCCUCUAUUAGCUCUUAUCAGGGAAAACACUCAAAGUUAGACCCACUUCCUGGUUACCGCAUAACGUCCACCCUCAGUGAGUUGGGACAAACAGAACAGCAUGCAGACUGAUGCCACUGCCCAUUGAGUCAGAAGGGAAGUGUAAAAACAGGGACUAAAGUCUAUUCAUUUAUUUUACUGCGAAACCAAACAAUGAACUCAGAACUGUUUUUCUGAUUCGCGCCACAACGAGAUGGUCGAGGACAAAAUCUGCCGUUUACAGUUUGCUCUGAAGUUACACACUGCCUGGCAUUACUCACACACAAGCACACACACACACACACCCUAUCUCUGUCCUCUGACACGCCACUGUACAUGCGGUGGACUCAUGGUGGCCACAGCCCCGAGGGCAGAGAGCACAGUAGCAUUUGCACAGUUUGUCUCAGGCACAGCGCACUAGAGAACCGUCCAGCCCGGCCCAGCUCGUCCCUUGCCCAUUGACUGAAGUACUGUCUGGCCCGCCUCCUCCUCACAGAUGUCUCACCAACUGUAGCUUCACUGGUGAGUCUGCAGCAGCAGCAGAGAGGUGGACCAAGAUGGAUUCCUCACAGAGAAAACAAAUGAGCUCCUGAACGAGCUAACAGGCGAGUCGGUGGGAUUUACUUUCUAACGUGACAUCAGUGGCUUUCUGUGAUGUGUUGUAUUUUAUAAAUAAAAGGCAUUUCUAUCUGACUGACAGAACAUAUAUUCUAUACAACCAAUGCCUUCUUGUGGUCGUCCUCGUGUUGUUCUGUUGUGAGAAACAUUUAUAAACUCAAACUAAAGAGCAGAGCUCAUCGGAGGCUUUUGUGGUGGAAGAGCACACGUUCUUUGCACAAAAGGUUGCAUUGCUCUUGCACGUGAUUUCCAACAUUUGGCUCUUUUUUUUUAGAGAAUUAGUCCUGUUCUAGUGAGACAGGUGAAGGUCUUCCAGCGUGUAAAGGACUCAGCCCGGUCAGAUGGGGAACAAUGUGAAUCUUUUCUAUCUCUUUGGACAAAAUGUUGUAUUUUCACUACAUGAGCUGAUUUAUGUUUGAUUAUGAUGUGCUGGUGACUUACUUCUAUGUUUUAUCUGAAGAUGAAUGACAGCACCUUUAUAACACAAUAUUUCAAGUCAUAAAGAUAAUACCACAGCUAAUGAAUCUAGUGGCUGACAUGAACAUUUAACCCCAUUGUCCACAUGUAGCACACUUUUAUCAUGGACCUGCAUCGCCACAUCGACUGUAAGCACUCAAAGCCCAUGGGAAUGCCCUGUUUUUGUUGUUUUCUCUUAUUCUGACUUGAGUUUUUUUUUUUAACACUGUUUGUGUGACCAGCCACACUAAUGUUGAAUAUUGUUUAUGAAAUAAAAGAAACAUCCCU
Nothobranchius furzeri (turquoise killifish) is the source of this 2379-nucleotide RNA transcript. It is a transcript of the gene named cornichon family AMPA receptor auxiliary protein 3, with no coding region annotated. The record is from RefSeq and is a predicted model, not a curated record. Lineage: Eukaryota; Metazoa; Chordata; Actinopteri; Cyprinodontiformes; Nothobranchiidae.